GGGUUGUGAGGUUAAGCGACUAAGCGUACACGGUGGAUGCCCUGGCAGUCAGAGGCGAUGAAGGACGUGCUAAUCUGCGAUAAGCGUCGGUAAGGUGAUAUGAACCGUUAUAACCGGCGAUUUCCGAAUGGGGAAACCCAGUGUGUUUCGACACACUAUCGUUAAGUGAAUACAUAGCUUAACGAAGCGAACCGGGGGAACUGAAACAUCUAAGUACCCCGAGGAAAAGAAAUCAACCGAGAUUCCCCCAGUAGCGGCGAGCGAACGGGGAGCAGCCCAGAACCUGAAUCAGUUUGUGUGUUAGUGGAAGCGUCUGGAAAGUCGCAGGGUACAGGGUGAUACUCC
Molecule: ribosomal RNA, 345 nt
Filed under: Corallococcus coralloides
Lineage: Bacteria; Pseudomonadati; Myxococcota; Myxococcia; Myxococcales; Myxococcaceae
Description: partial 23S ribosomal RNA
Rfam family: Bacterial large subunit ribosomal RNA
Source: RNAcentral